GUGGGGAAUCUUCCGCAAUGGACGAAAGUCUGACGGAGCAACGCCGCGUGAGUGAUGAAGGUCUUCGGAUUGUAAAGCUCUGUUAAUCGGGACGAAAGAGCCUAGUGUGAAUAAUGCUAGGAAGUGACGGUACCGGAAUAGAAAGCCACGGCUAACUACGUGCCAGCAGCCGCGGUAAUACGUAGGUGGCAAGCGUUGUCCGGAAUUAUUGGGCGUAAAGCGCGCGCAGGCGGAUCUGCCAGUCUGUCUUAAAAGUUCGGGGCUUAACCCCGUGAUGGGAUGGAAACUUCAGAUCUAGAGUAUCGGAGAGGAAAGUGGAAUUCCUAGUGUAGCGGUGAAAUGCGUAGAUAUUAGGAAGAACACCAGUGGCGAAGGCGACUUUCUGGACUGUAACUGACGCUGAGGCUCGAAAGCCAGGGGAGCGAACGGGAUUAGAUACCCGGGUAGUCC
Molecule: ribosomal RNA, 450 nt
Filed under: uncultured bacterium
Lineage: Bacteria
Description: partial 16S ribosomal RNA
Rfam family: Bacterial small subunit ribosomal RNA
Source: RNAcentral